GCUCUGAGAGAGACUGGUGUAUUAACGUCAGGGAACCACAAAAGAAAGAAACCACAGGAGCCAGCCAACAAUCAAUGAAUCUGGCUCACUCCUGCAAUGGCGGCUUCUGAAGUUUAUGGCAGCGCAUGGUUAAGGAAGGGGAGAGCGUUGGCAGCUAAACAAAUGGCAGAAUAAUGAUUAAGUGGAGAAACAGCUGGGUGCUGUAACAUACAGAUGAGCAAAAAUAAAGCUUUCUGGUUCUGUGGAAUGGGAGCCUAUGUUUAACAGAAGGAAGUUAGCAAGGAAAAGCCAUCUUCAAGGCCUUGUGGACCUAAUGGUGGGCUCGAACAAGCAAACAUUUAGAGAAUUGUGCAUGUUCCCUGCAAAAGUGGAGAGACUCAGGUCUGUGUCAAAGUGAUAUUGCAAAAAUGAGAUAAAGAGUUCUCCUCCUGGUUGUUAAUUACCCUGCACAUUCCACAGAACUGAUGAAGUUUGCA
Long non-coding RNA from Neogale vison (American mink), 476 nucleotides. RefSeq lists it as uncharacterized. The transcript has 4 exons. The record is from RefSeq and is a predicted model, not a curated record. Lineage: Eukaryota; Metazoa; Chordata; Mammalia; Carnivora; Mustelidae.